GUGACUGGAAAACCGGCAUGGAAUUGCAAGCCGGAAACAAACAUAGCAGCCUUGAUGAUUCGUAUUGGAGUAGGAGAUGAAUUGCCAGAAAUCCCUCAAGAAUUGUCCAAAGAAGGGAAGGAUUUUCUAUCCAAAUGCUUUGUUAAGGAUCCUAGAACGAGAUGGACGGCUGAUAUGUUAUUGGAUCAUCCUUUUGUUGCUACUGAAAACACUGUUACAUUGAAGGAGAGUAAGCAAUCAUCUCCAUCAUCAUCACCAAGAUGUCCAUUCGAGUACCCAGAGUGGGUUUCAGUUCCAUCUUCAUCACCAAAGACUGAAUUAUGGUCUAACAAGGAAGUGAAUUCAAGAUUUGAUUGGUCCUCUUUGUCAUAUUCACCUUCACCGGCGGAGAGACUCCGGCAGCUGGCUAGUGAUGAGGUUUGCAACUGGUCUUUUUCUGAGAGUUGGGUCACUGUCAGGUGAGAGAAGGCAGAGCACAGAAUUGAAUUCAACGCCAGCAGACUUGGAAGAUUUUUUAAUUCCAUUUUUUAUUACAAUCUAACUGUUGAGAUUCCAUUAAUCUUUUUAGUAAUUGGUGACAAGUUUUGGCGAUUGUAAAUGUGUAGGAAAUAGACUGAGGAAUUGUAUUUAGCAGACUGAGUUUUACUUGAUUCAACAGUCCUGAUGGGUGGCCCUGACUGGCCAAGUGUACAGAACAAUAUUUUUAACCCCUUUUGUUUGAUAUGCAUA
RNAcentral lists this unclassified non-coding RNA (729 nucleotides) under Hevea brasiliensis (rubber tree). The record is from RNAcentral. Lineage: Eukaryota; Viridiplantae; Streptophyta; Magnoliopsida; Malpighiales; Euphorbiaceae.